RNAcentral lists this ribosomal RNA (498 nucleotides) under uncultured bacterium. Its description in RNAcentral is "partial 16S ribosomal RNA". It matches the Rfam family "Bacterial small subunit ribosomal RNA", at positions 30 to 523 of the family's 1533-position model. The record is from RNAcentral.
AUUGAACGCUGGCGGCAUGCCUUACACAUGCAAGUCGAACGGUAACAGGUCUUCGGAUGCUGACGAGUGGCGAACGGGUGAGUAAUACAUCGGAACGUGCCUAGUAGUGGGGGAUAACUACUCGAAAGAGUGGCUAAUACCGCAUGAGAUCUACGGAUGAAAGCAGGGGAUCGCAAGACCUUGUGCUACUAGAGCGGCCGAUGGCAGAUUAGGUAGUUGGUGGGAUAAAAGCUUACCAAGCCGACGAUCUGUAGCUGGUCUGAGAGGAUGAUCAGCCACACUGGGAAUGAGACACGGCCCAGACUCCUACGGGAGGCAGCAGUGGGGAAUUUUGGACAAUGGGCGAAAGCCUGAUCCAGCCAUGCCGCGUGUAGGAUGAAGGCCUUCGGGUUGUAAACUGCUUUUGUACGGAACGAAAAGCCCCGGGUUAAUACCCUGGGGUCAUGACGGUACCGUAAGAAUAAGCACCGGCUAACUACGUGCCAGCCGCCGCGGUAA